CUACGUGCCAGCAGCCGCGGUAAUACGGAAGGUCCGGGCGUUAUCCGGAUUUAUUGGGUUUAAAGGGAGCGUAGGCCGGAGAUUAAGUGUGUUGUGAAAUGUAGACGCUCAACGUCUGACUUGCAGCGCAUACUGGUUUCCUUGAGUACGCACAACGUUGGCGGAAUUCGUCGUGUAGCGGUGAAAUGCUUAGAUAUGACGAAGAACUCCGAUUGCGAAGGCAGCUGACGGGAGCGCAACUGACGCUUAAGCUCGAAGGUGCGGGUAUCGAACAGGAUUAGAUACCCUGGUAGUCCGCACAGUAAACGAUGGAUGCCCGCUGCUGGUACCUGGUAUCAGCGGCUAAGCGAAAGCAUUAAGCAUCCCACCUGGGGAGUACGCCGGCAACGGUGAAACUCAAAGGAAUUGACGGGGGCCCGCACAAGCGGAGGAACAUGUGGUUUAAUUCGAUGAUACGCGAGGAACCUUACCCGGGCUUGAA
This 481-nucleotide ribosomal RNA is filed under the name uncultured bacterium. RNAcentral's name for it is "bacterial SSU rRNA". It matches the Rfam family "Bacterial small subunit ribosomal RNA", at positions 501 to 985 of the family's 1533-position model. The record is from RNAcentral.